UACUCAGUACAUUCUGGUAAGGUCAUAAGGCAGUUGGAAAGGCCUGAAAGGUUAACUGAAAUGAUCAAAGGAAUGAAAUAUUAUAGUAAGACCAGAUGAGAAAUUUUCAGCACAGAAAAAUGAUGGGUGAAAAGGGACACAAUCAAAUUCCUGACCAUGAAGGAUAUUAGUAACUGAAACAUGGACUUGUUCAACAAAUUCAAGAAUACUGUAUCUAGGAGAACUCUCUUGAAGCUUGAAGUUCCGCCAUGGUUUUUAAAUCAUCCUUCCAACCUCUAUGCCUAUGAAAGCAUGGAUAUUGAGUUUGAAUGUACAGUCUCUGGAAAGCCUGUGCCCACUGUGAAUUGGAUGAAGAAUGGAGAUGUGGUCAUUCCUAGUGAUUAUUUUCAGAUAGUGGGAGGAAGCAACUUACGGAUACUUGGGGUGGUGAAGUCAGAUGAAGGCUUUUAUCAAUGUGUGGCUGAAAAUGAGGCUGGAAAUGCCCAGACCAGUGCACAGCUCAUUGUCCCUAAGCCUGCUAUCCCAAGCUCCAGUGUCCUCCCUUCGGCUCCCAGAGAUGUGGUCCCUG
Molecule: small RNA, 568 nt
Filed under: Pan troglodytes (chimpanzee)
Lineage: Eukaryota; Metazoa; Chordata; Mammalia; Primates; Hominidae
Description: processed transcript
Source: RNAcentral